RNAcentral lists this transfer RNA (75 nucleotides) under Rhodothalassium salexigens. Its description in RNAcentral is "tRNA-Gly". It matches the Rfam family "tRNA". From Rfam's summary of the family: Transfer RNA (tRNA) molecules are approximately 80 nucleotides in length. Their secondary structure includes four short double-helical elements and three loops (D, anti-codon, and T loops). The record is from RNAcentral. Lineage: Bacteria; Pseudomonadati; Pseudomonadota; Alphaproteobacteria; Rhodothalassiales; Rhodothalassiaceae. RNAcentral also lists the same sequence under 26 other names.
GCGGGCGUAGCUCAGGGGUAGAGCAUCACCUUGCCAAGGUGAGGGUCGUGAGUUCGAAUCUCAUCGCCCGCUCCA